This is a long non-coding RNA of Gossypium arboreum, 766 nucleotides long. RefSeq lists it as uncharacterized. The transcript is spliced from 2 exons. NCBI's taxonomy places the organism in Eukaryota, Viridiplantae, Streptophyta, Magnoliopsida, Malvales, Malvaceae. The record is from RefSeq and is a predicted model, not a curated record.
AGCAAAAUUAUUAAAUGAAUUUCCUUUAAACAAUGAAUUAUAUAAAUAGAAAAUUUAAUAAAAAUAAAUUCAAAAUGAAAAGGAAAUAAAAUAACCUAACGGAAUUGAAAUUAUAAGGGCUAAAACUUAAACAUACAGCCAAUAACCCUAGCCCCUUCUUCUAUACUUUAGCCAACCCCUAAAUCCCCACUUCAAACCACCGAUUCCCAUCCCCCAAACAACAAUCUGCACAUUGAAGCUUAGAGGACGAAAUUUUUAGCCUCAAGAUCUCCUCCUGACUUCGAUUUCAACAAAGUAGAAGAAGACCUACGGCGUAUUUACGAGGAAAGGCCGUACACAAGCACGAGCGGAGACGCGCGCGAGGGGCUGGUGGCGCACGUGUGGUGCUCAUCCGAAUUACUGGCUGCUGCGCGAGAGGGAGAACCCUUAGAGCUUCUGAAACAAUCACCUGGACCAGUCUUUGGGUCAUGUAUGGAAUGGGCUGAGACUUUGGGUUAUUAAUUAAUUGGGUUUAGGAUUUAUGCAAUUGGGUUUUAAAAAAUGUAUCUGGGCUGGACUGUAUAUAUAUAUUUUUUGGGUUAAAUAACUUGUAAAUGGAUAUUGACUUAUUCUGGGCUGUUCAUUGUUUUUGUUUUUAUUUUUGAUUUUUGGUUUUUGGUUUUGUAUGGGCCCGGGCGAAUUGGGCCUAUUACAGAUAUUUUGAUUAGUUCUUUGAUAUGAUUGAUCAGUCAAUUCUAUAAACAACGUAGAUUAGACUUAAAAUAAA